RNAcentral lists this ribosomal RNA (294 nucleotides) under uncultured soil bacterium. RNAcentral describes it as "partial 16S ribosomal RNA". It matches the Rfam family "Bacterial small subunit ribosomal RNA", at positions 26 to 349 of the family's 1533-position model. The record is from RNAcentral.
AGAACGAACGCUGGCGGCAUGCCUAACACAUGCAAGUCGAACGAGACCUUCGGGUCUAGUGGCGCACGGGUGCGUAACGCGUGGGAAUCUGCCCUUGGGUUCGGAAUAACAGCGAGAAAUUGCUGCUAAUACCGGAUGAUGACGUAAGUCCAAAGAUUUAUCGCCCAAGGAUGAGCCCGCGUAGGAUUAGCUUGUUGGUGAGGUAAGAGCUCACCAAGGCACGAUCCUUAGCUGGUCUGAGAGAUGAUCAGCCACACUGGGACUGAGACACGGCCCAGACUCCGUACGGGAGGC